Molecule: ribosomal RNA, 250 nt
Filed under: uncultured bacterium
Lineage: Bacteria
Description: partial 16S ribosomal RNA
Rfam family: Bacterial small subunit ribosomal RNA
Source: RNAcentral
GACAGAGGGUGCAAACGUUGUUCGGAAUUACUGGGCGUAAAGCGCGUGUAGGCUGCUUGGAAAGUCGGAUGUGAAAGCCCUGGGCUCAACCUAGGAAGUGCAUUCGAAACUUCUGAGCUUGAGUAUCGGAGAGGAUCGCGGAAUUCUCGGUGUAGAGGUGAAAUUCGUAGAUAUCGAGAGGAACACCGGUGGCGAAGGCGGCGAUCUGGACGAUUACUGACGCUGAGACGCGAAAGCGUGGGGAGCAAAC